RNAcentral lists this ribosomal RNA (576 nucleotides) under bacterium 41-L049642-122-014-A06. RNAcentral describes it as "bacterial SSU rRNA". It matches the Rfam family "Bacterial small subunit ribosomal RNA", at positions 61 to 624 of the family's 1533-position model. The record is from RNAcentral.
GUCGAACGGCAGCACAGUAAGAGCUUGCUCUUAUGGGUGGCGAGUGGCGGACGGGUGAGGAAUACCUCGGAGUCUACUUUUUCGUGGGGGAUAACGUAGGGAAACUUACGCUAAUACCGCAUACGACCUACGGGUGAAAGCAGGGGAUCUUCGGACCUUGCGCGAUUGAAUGAGCCGAUGUCUGAUUAGCUAGUUGGCGGGGUAAAGGCCCACCAAGGCGACGAUCCGUAGCUGGUCUGAGAGGAUGAUCAGCCACACUGGAACUGACACACGGCCCACACUCCUACGGGAGGCAGCAGUGGGGAAUAUUGGACAAUGGGCGCAAGCCUGAUCCAGCCAUACCGCGUGGGUGAAGAAGGCCUUCGGGUUGUAAAGCCCUUUUGUUGGGAAAGAAAUCCAGCCGGCUAAUACCUGGUUGGGAUGACGGUACCCAAAGAAUAAGCACCGGCUAACUUCGUGCCAGCAGCCGCGGAAAUACGAAGGGUGCAAGCGUUACUCUGAAUUACUGGGCGUAGAGCGUGCGUAGGUGGUUGUUUAGGUCUGUUGUGAGAGCCCUGGGCUCAACCUGGGAACUGC